AACGAACGCUGGCGGCAGGCUUAACACAUGCAAGUCGAACGGUCUCUUCGGAGACAGUGGCAGACGGGUGAGUAACGCGUGGGAAUAUACCUAUCAGUACGGAACAACAGUUGGAAACGACUGCUAAUACCGUAUACGCCCUUUUGGGGAAAGAUUUAUUGCUGAUAGAUUAGCCCGCGUUAGAUUAGCUAGUUGGUGGGGUAAAGGCCUACCAAGGCGACGAUCUAUAGCUGGUCUGAGAGGAUGAUCAAACCCUUUAUCA
Molecule: ribosomal RNA, 262 nt
Filed under: uncultured bacterium
Lineage: Bacteria
Description: partial 16S ribosomal RNA
Rfam family: Bacterial small subunit ribosomal RNA
Source: RNAcentral